Molecule: long non-coding RNA, 327 nt
Organism: Amphimedon queenslandica
Lineage: Eukaryota; Metazoa; Porifera; Demospongiae; Haplosclerida; Niphatidae
Exons: 4
Source: RefSeq, a predicted model, not a curated record
GAGACAAGAUGUUAGACAAAAGGAAGAAAUAAAAGGAAAGGAUAUUAACUUAUUACAACUAACAGAGGUUAUUUCUUAUAUUAUACUUGAAGAAGCUGAAUAUAGACUAAGAGAUGCUAUCUGUAGCAAAGAGAAGGAAACAAUUAAAUUGAAACUAGAAAUUCCAGUGAUAACAUCCUUAAUGGUAUCUGAGGUUAGUUGCACUUGAUACCAUUUAUGUAAAAUUUUCAAAGACUGUAACAAAUUCGUUAAAAAAUUUAUUUUGCAGAUUUAAUUUUUAUGAAUUUACACUUUCCAUCUCUUGUACUCUACCAUAGGGCGCCUUUU